This 1155-nucleotide ribosomal RNA is filed under the name Triticum aestivum (bread wheat). RNAcentral's name for it is "partial small subunit ribosomal RNA". The record is from RNAcentral. Lineage: Eukaryota; Viridiplantae; Streptophyta; Magnoliopsida; Poales; Poaceae.
AUGGCCGCCGCCGACCCAGUCCGCGACGGGCAGACGGCCCUCGCGCUCCGCCUCGUCAAGCACCUCGCGGCCGCAGACGCGGACGCCGCCGCUAAGAACGUCGCGUUCUCGCCCGUCUCCAUCCACGCUGGCCUCGCGCUGGUGGCCGCGGGUGCGGGCGGCGCCACGCGGGCCCAGCUGCUUAACUUCCUCGGCGCGCCGACGGCAGACGGCCUCGCUGCCUUCGGUCGCCUCGUCGCCGACCGCGUCCUGGCCGACAAGGUGGGCUCCGGCGGGCCGCGCGUGCUCUUCGGCGGCGGCACCCGCACCGUCAGCUUCACCGAUGAGCCGGAGGAAGCAGUGGAAACGAUCAACCGCUGGGUGAAGAAGGCGACCAACAACCUCAUCGACUCCAUGAUCUCACGCAGCGACAUCACCGCCGACACCGACCUCGUGCUCGCCAACGCGGUCUACUUCAAGGGCAGGUCAUCGGGCGAGUUCCACCGGCUUGACGGCAGCCACGUAAGGGCGUUCAUGUACGAGCUCAAGACCAUGUCCAUCUCGUGCAUGGACGGCUUCAAGGUCCUCAAGCUCCCGUACGGCCCGGACGGGGAAUAUGAACCCGCCCCAGGGGGGCUUCCCUACAAGAUCCACCGUGGCCCACGGGCCACCUCCGUCAAGACGCCUCUGGGCGAGGAUGCCACCCAGUUCUCCAUGUUUGUCUUCCUCCCAGACGAGCGCGACGGCAUGGCCACCAUGGUGGACGUGAUCACCGCGGCACCUGGGUACCUCUACAGCGUCCUGCCCACGGAAACCAAGCUAGUGCAAAUCAACCUCCCCAAGUUCGAGGUGUCAUUGGACUGGGACCUUGGUAGUGACCUCCGUCGGCUGGGACUCACGCUGCCCUUCUCGCGGAAGGCGGGCGACCUGCGAGGCAUGUACAAGAAGGACGACGGGCGGCCGACCUUCCUGACCAAGGUUGCGCACAAGGCGAUCAUCAAGGUGAAUGAGGAAGGGACCGAGGCGGCUGCGGUCAUGACGGCCUUGCGUGGCGGCGGACCAAUGCCGGACCAUGUGGAGUUCGUCGCCGACCAUCCGUUCACGUUCAUCAUCAUGGAGGAGCGCUCAGGGGUGAUCGUGUUCGCCGGCCACGUCCUCGACCCUACCUGCAAGUGA